Molecule: long non-coding RNA, 1273 nt
Filed under: Ovis aries (sheep)
Lineage: Eukaryota; Metazoa; Chordata; Mammalia; Artiodactyla; Bovidae
Description: lncRNA (ENSOARG00000026679.1)
Source: RNAcentral
CCGCGUCCUAUUGGCGGCCGCUCGGAGUCCAGCCAAUCCCGGCGCGGGCCGCGGGGCAUUGUGGGGGCUGUAGUCUCGCGGCGCCUCCCGCCGGACCGGGAGCACGAGGCGCGGCGACCGAGUUCAGACGCGGCGCGGCGGGAUGGCUGAACGAGGGGGCCAGGCCGAGGGGGCCAGGCCACCAAGGAGGCCGCACCGGGCGGGCGGAGCCGCCUCAGGUUCGCAGUGAAAAGGCAGCGAACGGGCCUGUGACUGAGCGUCCUCGGCGCUGAGGAAGACGACGACGGCGCGAUGCGGGAGAGAAGCUGGGCCCGGGGGGCGCUCCUCUCAGGGGAGGAGGCGGUGGAGGAGGAAAUUCGUGCGAGGCCCCAGAGGCGGGAGAAGGAGGCCGAGGGUCCAGCUCGGAGAGCGUGAGGGAGCAGAGCGGACCGGAGGCGAGCGGCCAGGGCCGUGCCAGCAGGAGGGCGGGAAACGGUGCUCAGCGUCCAGGAGACACGCCACGUGCCGGGGCGUCGUGUUCACGCCUGUCUAGCUGGGUCACAGGACGCGGUGAGCGGAGAUGUGCCGACAUUGAUCUGCCAAAGUGCGCCCCAAGCGGACUUUGGGAUCUGGAACUGGGGCACCCCCUGCGGUGUCCCAAGGAAGAAAGAACAGGGGAAAAAAAAAAAAAAAAAGGAGGAUCUCGGAACGCAGGAACUGGAAAAGUCCUUCUUCCCCCCUGUUGUAGCCAUUAAGGAAUUUCAGGUCCUCCUGAGCAGUAUAACCUGUGUCCCCUUCUACCCCGGGGAUUCUGGUGCAAGCUGUUUAUUGGCAGACUACCUCAGGAGAAAGCCGAGAUGCCAUCAAAUCUGUGACGCUCUCUGCAACCCCACAGUGGAGGACAUCUUUGCAGUAGCCGUGGACAUGGUUGACAAGGACCGUCCCCGAAGCACAGCCUGGUCAGCGUCCAGAGCACCACCUGCCCUUCACCACCAUCUGAAUGUCCGGGCAGCCUCCCCACUGCCCCGCCCUGGUAGACUCCGGUGGUUGGGGGAACCUCCUCUAUCCAGCCUCCUCUUUCCACGGGGAGAAACAGGCAUUAGCGUGACACUCAGGUAGGAGUUCCCGUGGAGACUCUCUCCCCUCGUCUCUGAGGUCGGCCUGCCCGCUCAGAGCGCGCGCUUCCCACGUGGAGGACUCGGCUGAGAGUCUGGGUCGGUGGAGGAUGGAGGCGCUUCCCAUCUGCCUGCCUGGCAGGGUGGACGUCGAGGUGUCAGGCCUGGGCUAGCGGCAU